Molecule: ribosomal RNA, 253 nt
Filed under: uncultured bacterium
Lineage: Bacteria
Description: partial 16S ribosomal RNA
Rfam family: Bacterial small subunit ribosomal RNA
Source: RNAcentral
UACGAAGGGGGCGAGCGUUGUUCGGAUUUACUGGGCGUAAAGCGCGUGUAGGCGGCUGCGCAAGUCGGAUGUGAAAUCCCAUGGCUCAACCAUGGAAGUGCACCCGAAACUGCGUAGCUAGAGUCUCGGAGAGGGAGGCGGAAUGCUUGGUGUAGAGGUGAAAUUCGUAGAUAUCAAGCGGAACACCGGUGGCGAAGGCGGCCUUCUGGACGAUGACUGACGCUGAGACGCGAAAGCGUGGGGAGCAAACAGG